UUGCAAAGAGAUCAAAAUCCUGUGGACUAGAGUCAAAACAAGUGCUGUGGGGUGGCUUUUAGGGUUGUUUUGUUUUGGAUACCACCACAAUCAGAUGUUUCUUAAUCGCACAUGCAAGUCAGGUGUCUGUGUGGGUCUGGAGGUGACUCAGUCCCUGUACCAGUGAAACAAGGUGAGAAAGGAAGGGAGUGUAGGAUGGGAGUAGUAGCUUAGGCCUCAAAAAGCACUGCCACGCAGUGGAAAUGGAUUGAGGGGUGGCUGUGUUGCUGUGUGAAAGCACUGAAGGACAGACCCAGGUGGCAUUAUUCAGUCAAGCAACUGUUCAUUAGUGCUCAUUAAAAGCCAGCUUAGCCAAAUUGAUGAUUAAGAUGAAGCUGCCUAUUAAGUCGGUUAUGCUGACCACCACAGUAAGUAAUCGCCUUUUUAACCUAUGAAGUUCCUUUUAAGUCGAGGCAGCAUUGUCGAGUCAGAGUGCUGUGACGAGAGCCACCACAUGCGGAGCCUCCCGUGUGCCUUCCUAUCCACCAUGGCAACAUUCUAGCGCGAAACGCGGCGCUCGGGGACGACGCUGAGCACAGGAGGGUUACUGCUGCAGCUGAUCGCCCUCAGUUUAACAGCUGCACCCCGACGUUGGCCCCGUAUUUAGACGCCGUGUUGGUGCGAGGGGCCGGUGCCGGUUACGUUGGUUGAGGCGCGCUCGCCCUAGCGGUGCUCUCACAGGGCCCGAGGCGGGAAAGAGCGUGCCGCGUGCAGAGGUGCUGCCGCGUGCCGCUGGGGGGCAGCAGAGCGCCGGGCAGCAAAGCGGAGCUGAGGGGAACGGCCCGGAGGCUCCGCGCGUGAACCCCGCAACGUUGGGCGGCCGCCUCGUGCCGGGUUCGUCCCGCCGGGUUCGGGGAACGCUACUCACGUGCUUCAGCCACAGCCCCAGCUAGAAAUGAGCUAAAGCAUCAAAGGCCAGAUCACAGCCCAUGUUCCCCAAAAUUCAGUGUCUAAACCAGAAGAGUUUGGAAACGGCUGAUCUCUAGAGGCAGUGAAGAGCCAUUGUAUCCAGAAAUACAGAUGAUCGUGGAAGAAUUGAAAGGAGCAUUCUUUAGUGAUUAUCCCUGCAAUCUCCUACUGUCAUUUUAUCUCCAACUUACUGUCUAC
Lagopus muta (rock ptarmigan) is the source of this 1146-nucleotide long non-coding RNA. RefSeq lists it as uncharacterized. NCBI's taxonomy places the organism in Eukaryota, Metazoa, Chordata, Aves, Galliformes, Phasianidae. The transcript has 3 exons. The record is from RefSeq and is a predicted model, not a curated record.